RNAcentral lists this unclassified non-coding RNA (1396 nucleotides) under Rhagoletis pomonella (apple maggot). Its description in RNAcentral is "protein suppressor of variegation 3-7-like, transcript variant X1". Lineage: Eukaryota; Metazoa; Arthropoda; Insecta; Diptera; Tephritidae. The record is from RNAcentral.
AGUCGAACUCUGUUUGUUUUUGGUUUCGAUAGGAAAUCGGCUAUUUUUGUACAUCUCUAAAAGCGACUACAUAGAUGAAGUCUCCUAAUCAUUACACUUCUCAGAUUUUAAUAGUAUUACAGUUGAAUAUUACAGCAUAAAGGAUUGCUCAGUAAACUGCUUCCUGGUAAUAUAUAUACUGUAUGUUUGAAAAGUAAAUUUUCAAGCUAUGAGUGAUAACGAAAAAAAUGCGUCUACCGAGGACGACACGGAAGAAAGCUUUUCUCAGCUGCCUUUGAUUAAAACUCGUGUCCGGAAGAGCCUAAAUGAGCUUCGACAUCCCAGGCAAAAGUUUUGUGCUCGUUGGGAAAGAGAUUUCCCAUGGCUUAAGGCGGAUAAAGUAGAUGAAUCUGUUGGUAUAUGUACCGUGUGUAACAAGCACCUGGUGUGUAAAAAAAGUCAUUUGGAGCGCCAUCAGAAAUCAUAUAAACAUCAGAGACUUCAGAACUACGAAUCCUUCGAUGCAGAAUGCGAACCAUCGCAAACAAAUGAACCUGAAUUUAUGGAGUGCGGAAAGCGGGAAUUCGGGCAAGCUGAGCAGGAAUUUGGUCAGGCGAUUGAAUUAGAUCCAGACUACAAUGUAGAUCGAGAUCCUGAUAGAAAAUUUAAGAGGAAUUCUGCAAGUAAACUAAAGCCGCAAGAGCAACAAUCAACCACGAAUUGUUCUAUUUUAGCUGAAGGCAUCACAAAUAAGAGUUUCAAGUUAGACCGUUUCAAAUUGCUCAAGCGUGUCGAUCGCGACCGUAAUGCUCUCAAUGAGUAUUACCUAAUUCGCAAAAGGCAGCAUUCGCCACUAAUUCAACCAUGCAGGGAUACAUUCGACUUAUUUUUUGAUAGCGUCUGUGCAACUGUGAAGUCACUACCACCGAAAUUAGGUGCUGAGGUGAAGGGCCGAAUUUCUCAGUUGAUAGCCGAAUUUGAGUUGCGUGCGAUAUGUGAACGAGAAGCUCAAGAAGCCACUUCAUUACCUUCAACAACAUCUGAAAAUUCUACAAUGGUAGUUGGUGCAACUACUACUCUUCAACAAGAAACCACACCAUCGGUAACACAGGAGUCAGCGGUUAUAGAUCCGACUACUGGAGUUCCACAUAUCGUUUACACAUUCCAGCCUAAAGGAGAAUGAUUUCAAAGUUAAGAUACUAGCAUGAAAAUUGUGGGAGAGAGAGUAAAUGUCCACCUAAUUUAUUUUCUCUAUCGAAAGUAAAUUUUAGUCAUAAUCCCAUUUCACAGCCAGAAUAAACAGAAUACGUUUGAAAUAUACGUUAACAUAUCAUCAGGAACGUUCUAAAGAAUAAGUAAACAAAACGUUCCACACGUUCAGAAUGAAUUAAUAAAUACAGCCUUAGUAAAGCUUAAA